Molecule: unclassified non-coding RNA, 336 nt
Filed under: soil metagenome
Description: partial contains 5.8S ribosomal RNA, internal transcribed spacer 2, and large subunit ribosomal RNA
Rfam family: 5.8S ribosomal RNA (bases 1-120)
Source: RNAcentral
GAUGAAGAACGUAGCGAAAUGCGAUAAGUAAUGUGAAUUGCAGAAUUCAGUGAAUCAUCGAAUCUUUGAACGCACAUUGCGCCCCUUGGUAUUCCGGGGGGCAUGCCUGUUCGAGCGUCAUUUCAACCCUCAAGCUCUGCUUGGUAUUGGGCUCCGUCCUCCUCGGACGCGCCUCAAAGACCUCGGCGGUGGCGUCUUGCCUCAAGCGUAGUAGAAACACCUCGCUUUGGAGUGCAUGGCGUCGCCCGCCGGACGAAACCUUUUGUAUUUUCUCAAGGUUGACCUCGGAUCAGGUAGGGAUACCCGCUGAACUUAAGCAUAUCAAUAAGCGGAGGA